UCCAACGGAGGCGACACGUCAAGAAAUGUACGGUCCUACCAGCAAGCAUGCACGCGAAGAACGUUCCCAUCGGAUAGCUAAUUUCUAUUUUAACAAGAGGAUGAGCCUGCCUUCUUCCAGCCACUGCAGCCAGGAGUUGUCACCUGAAAUCUUAGCUAAGGCGCGGGAUGAUUGGUUUGGGAGAAUUUUUGGUAGGACUUACUCUCUGGUUUCACUCUGUAUAAGCAUUGAACGUUGUACCUAACCUUCUGCUCAC
This is a long non-coding RNA of Hordeum vulgare subsp. vulgare (domesticated barley), 256 nucleotides long. RefSeq lists it as uncharacterized. The record is from RefSeq and is a predicted model, not a curated record. The transcript has 3 exons. Lineage: Eukaryota; Viridiplantae; Streptophyta; Magnoliopsida; Poales; Poaceae.